UUUAAUUCGAUGCAACGCGAAGAACCUUACCUGGUCUUGACAUCCACGGAAGUUUUCAGAGAUGAGAAUGUGCCUUCGGGAACCGUGAGACAGGUGCUGCAUGGCUGUCGUCAGCUCGUGUUGUGAAAUGUUGGGUUAAGUCCCGCAACGAGCGCAACCCUUAUCCUUUGUUGCCAGCGGUCCGGCCGGGAACUCAAAGGAGACUGCCAGUGAUAAACUGGAGGAAGGUGGGGAUGACGUCAAGUCAUCAUGGCCCUUACGACCAGGGCUACACACGUGCUACAAUGGCGCAUACAAAGAGAAGCGACCUCGCGAGAGCAAGCGGACCUCAUAAAGUGCGUCGUAGUCCGGAUUGGAGUCUGCAACUCGACUCCUGAAGUCGGAAUCGCUAGUAAUCGUGGAUCAGAAUGCCA
This 413-nucleotide ribosomal RNA is filed under the name uncultured Escherichia sp. RNAcentral describes it as "bacterial SSU rRNA". It matches the Rfam family "Bacterial small subunit ribosomal RNA", at positions 945 to 1359 of the family's 1533-position model. The record is from RNAcentral. Lineage: Bacteria; Pseudomonadati; Pseudomonadota; Gammaproteobacteria; Enterobacterales; Enterobacteriaceae.